Molecule: long non-coding RNA, 1733 nt
Filed under: Homo sapiens (human)
Lineage: Eukaryota; Metazoa; Chordata; Mammalia; Primates; Hominidae
Description: HSALNT0296780
Source: RNAcentral
CCUGGGCUAUUUUUUUUUACAUGGUGGUUUUUCCUAGUUCAUUGACAGUGAUGACCGGUUCCCUACAGAGCUGGCCACCUUGCUGAGUGCACUGGAUGGCACACAGUGACAACAAAUGACACAGAAGCCUCUCUUCUCGAGGACUCGAGGAGUUAAAUAUCUGAUGGAGAAGAGAAGACAGGACCCAGGCACAAGCAGCGCAAUCUGUAUGAACAAAUACAAGAAUCACAUACUCCACAGUCCCAUGAGCCACGGGGAUAGAUAGCAAAGGGUUCCCCAGCAGCCCUGGCAGGCAGGUAGACAGCCACAGCUAUGCGGGCCCUUAGGUCAGCCCUCUCAGAUGAUCUGAAACCACUUCAGUCUGUCUGAAGCUCUCAUGAACAUUUCCUGUUAAGUAUUGUUUUCAAUAAUUUAUUCUGGAGGAGAUGUUGGCUCCCCUGGGAAUCACUUUGCAGCACAUCCCCUCCAGAGACCAGCUACAGACAUCAGGCGCCAGGAUAGAAGAGUCGCUCUGUGUAGACGGUGGACCAGGAAUAAGGUUGCCUCAAAAAAAUAAUAGCUGACAUCCGCCCCACCCUCCACUCUUCAAUCAAGCCAGUCAGGCAAUGAACCUUUUCACACCUGAGGGAUUAUUUUUGCUUUUGUCUGAUUCUGCUGUGUUAAAGGAAACAAGUGUUGAGAAAGGACUCAAUUAACUGAGCUUCAGGAUAAUCCAAGGUGAAGAAAAACAAGAGCUGACAAAGAAAAGAAAUGGUGCUGCUGGGUUAGGGUCUCCCCAACUGAGCUGGUCUCAGCAAGUGGCGUCCAUUCGUGGGAGCUUGAAUCCAGGUCGAAGGGUCACCGGAGCAAUGGUUGGAAUGGAAAACUAGCUGGAGGACACCCGAGUACUCUAAAAGCAAUCCCCAUGGCCAAAAUCAACAGCCAAUUUGGAUACCAUCAAGACACCUGAAACCUUAUCAUGAGCCAGAUGCCAAGGAAGAGAUUCGGGAGGAUCCUGAGGACCCCCCGGUUGCAGCCAUGUUGAGACUGAUGCUGAGGAGGACCCCAACUGUCACGAGCAACACCCGUCGACCACAGCCACCCACCUGGGGACAGAUCAAGAAGCUGUCACAGAUGGCGGAGGAAAGCGGAACAACCAGUCACAAUGAAUAAUUUAAUGGUAGCUAUGAUAGUGGUUAUCACCACUGCCGUGAGUAUUCCUACAAUAAGGGCUGGUAAUAACGCCUGGAUGCAAUCACUCUAUGACACAGUUACAUAUGCUUUCUGAUCUCAGUAUUUACCAUAAUAAAUCUGCUCCUAUAAUUGAGGCAUACCACCCUUAAAAACCUAUUUGUAAACAGGAUUGGACCCAGUUAGAAAAAAUGAACACAAUUGUUUAGGAAGAUUGCCUUGCAGAACAGGCAGAGAUGCUGCACAACGAUUCCUAUGGAAUCAUUAUUAAUUGGUCCCCUAAGGGGAUGUUUAGCUUGAAUUGCACCUCUCAGUCUGCGUGCCACAGUCACACUAUGUUUAGAUGAUCUGAACAAAACAGUCAGAUGGUAGAAAUGUUAAGAAGUACGGCAAAAGUUCCUAUUAUGUGGAACCAUGGCGGUAUAGUGGCACCUCAACCUCAAAUGAUAUGGCCUGCUCUAGGAGCUAAACAUAAGGAUUUGCGGAAACUAUUAAAUGCUCUUAAUAAGAUCAAAAUUUGGGAAAGAAUAAAAAAGCAUCUAGAAGGACACUCUACAAAAUUG